Molecule: ribosomal RNA, 253 nt
Filed under: uncultured bacterium
Lineage: Bacteria
Description: partial 16S ribosomal RNA
Rfam family: Bacterial small subunit ribosomal RNA
Source: RNAcentral
UACGUAGGGGGCUAGCGUUGUCCGGAUUUAUUGGGCGUAAAGAGCGUGUAGGCGGCCAGGUAGGUCCGUUGUGAAAACUCGAGGCUCAACCUCGAGACGUCGGCGGAAACCCUUUGGCUAGAGUCCGGAAGAGGAGAGUGGAAUUCCUGGUGUAGCGGUGAAAUGCGCAGAUAUCAGGAAGAACACCCGUGGCGAAGGCGGCUCUCUGGGACGGUACUGACGCUGAGACGCGAAAGCGUGGGGAGCAAACAGG